GAUGAAGAACGUAGCGAAAUGCGAUACGUAAUGUGAAUUGCAAAUUCAGUGAAUCAUCGAGUCUUUGAACGCACAUUGCGCCCCCUGGUAUUCCGGGGGGCAUGCCUGUCCGAGCGUCAUUGCUGCCCUCAAGCACGGCUUGUGUGUUGGGCCCCGUCCUCCGAUCCCGGGGGACGGGCCCGAAAGGCAGCGGCGGCACCGCGUCCGGUCCUCGAGCGUAUGGGGCUUUGUCACCCGCUCUGUAGGCCCGGCCGGCGCUUUCCGAUCAACCCAAAUUUUUAUCCAGGUUGACCUCGGAUCAGGUAGGGAUACCCGCUGAACUUAAGCAUAUCAAUAAGCGGAGGA
This 345-nucleotide unclassified non-coding RNA is filed under the name soil metagenome. Its description in RNAcentral is "partial contains 5.8S ribosomal RNA, internal transcribed spacer 2, and large subunit ribosomal RNA". The stretch from base 1 to 119 matches the Rfam family "5.8S ribosomal RNA", at positions 35 to 154 of the family's 154-position model. The record is from RNAcentral.